RNAcentral lists this long non-coding RNA (320 nucleotides) under Jatropha curcas. RNAcentral describes it as "long non-coding RNA (JCUR_LNC001760)". The record is from RNAcentral. Lineage: Eukaryota; Viridiplantae; Streptophyta; Magnoliopsida; Malpighiales; Euphorbiaceae.
GGCUUUGUGAUGCAAUUAGAGAUAUUAAUAGGUAAGCAAAUCAUAUCUAGCUUGAAAUGGAACAAAGCCAAAGAAAUAUUGAACAUGCAUGAAAAAGUCGACAUAGACAGAUGAUAAUUAUUAAUAAAUUCUCAUAACUGGAUUUUAUAAAUCUAUUAUAUAAAUUACUGCAUCAUAGAAACAGGAAACUUUAGCACGUUACUUUUUUCGAGGAGCUAAAAGUGCAGGAUGCUCCUACAAAAUAAAAAACAAGCAGAAAUAAUCAGCAUUAACUGGAUUUUACAAUUUUGGUGACAUUUCUAUAAAUUGGGCUUGAUGGG